GGAGGCGUCGCAUAGUGGCCUAGUGCGCCCGCCUGCUAAGCGGGUUUGGGAUGAAACCCAUCGCGAGUUCAAAUCUCGCCGCCUCCGCC
This 89-nucleotide transfer RNA is filed under the name Angustibacter aerolatus. RNAcentral's name for it is "tRNA-Ser". It matches the Rfam family "tRNA". From Rfam's summary of the family: Transfer RNA (tRNA) molecules are approximately 80 nucleotides in length. Their secondary structure includes four short double-helical elements and three loops (D, anti-codon, and T loops). Lineage: Bacteria; Bacillati; Actinomycetota; Actinomycetes; Kineosporiales; Kineosporiaceae. The record is from RNAcentral.